UACAGAGGUCUCAAGCGUUGUUCGGAUUCAUUGGGCGUAAAGGGUGCGUAGGCGGCGCGGUAAGUCGGGUGUGAAAUCUCGGAGCUUAACUCCGAAACUGCAUUCGAUACUGCCGUGCUUGAGGACUGGAGAGGAGACUGGAAUUUACGGUGUAGCGGUGAAAUGCGUAGAUAUUCGGAGGAACACCAGUGGCGAAGGCGGCUCACUGGUCCAUUACUGACGCUGAGGUGCGAAAGCGUGGGGAGCAAACAGG
RNAcentral lists this ribosomal RNA (253 nucleotides) under uncultured bacterium. RNAcentral describes it as "partial 16S ribosomal RNA". It matches the Rfam family "Bacterial small subunit ribosomal RNA", at positions 524 to 776 of the family's 1533-position model. The record is from RNAcentral.